UCCCCAAUAGCUCAAUGGUAGAGCGCAUGACUGUUAAUCAUGAAGUUCCAAGUUCGAGUCUUGGUUGGGGAG
RNAcentral lists this transfer RNA (72 nucleotides) under Coprococcus eutactus. RNAcentral's name for it is "tRNA-Asn". It matches the Rfam family "tRNA". Rfam says of the family: Transfer RNA (tRNA) molecules are approximately 80 nucleotides in length. Their secondary structure includes four short double-helical elements and three loops (D, anti-codon, and T loops). The record is from RNAcentral. RNAcentral also lists the same sequence under 1 other name. Lineage: Bacteria; Bacillati; Bacillota; Clostridia; Lachnospirales; Lachnospiraceae.